RNAcentral lists this long non-coding RNA (357 nucleotides) under Phasianus colchicus (ring-necked pheasant). Its description in RNAcentral is "lncRNA (ENSPCLG00000009459.1)". Lineage: Eukaryota; Metazoa; Chordata; Aves; Galliformes; Phasianidae. The record is from RNAcentral.
AUCACUUGCUCAGUGGUGAACUAAGCCAGUUAAUCUUAAAUCUGUUCAUAUCCAUCCUUAAGUACACAAAGUGAUUUUAUGGCUUUCCUGUGAGCUCUGCUUCAAGGACAAGGGGAAAUCAGCCUCUCUGUUGAGUGGUAUUGGUGGGCAAGUUCCAAAUCUUACACCUUCUCAGGUAUCACUUCAAAAUUAAAGGUGGUAAUAGAGGUUGCGUAGGGUAAUCCAGGACACCUGUUAACUAAAGUGAUUCAAAAUUUUUCUCUUCUAGUCCAAUUUUCAUAACUUUUUUUCCUAUCAAGAACAAAUACAAUGCUAAUUUUGUUAGCACAGAGAUGACUUUAGGUUGGGGUUAGAGCU